Molecule: ribosomal RNA, 291 nt
Filed under: uncultured bacterium
Lineage: Bacteria
Description: partial 16S ribosomal RNA
Rfam family: Bacterial small subunit ribosomal RNA
Source: RNAcentral
GUGCCAGCAGCCGCGGUAAUACGUAGGUGGCGAGCGUUGUCCGGAAUUAUUGGGCGUAAAGAGCGUGUAGGUGGGAUCAUAAGUCUUUUGUCAAAGUGCGGGGCUCAACCCCGUGAUGCGGAGGAAACUGUGAUUCUUGAGUGCCGGAGAGGAAAGCGGAAUUCCCAGUGUAGCGGUGAAAUGCGUAGAUAUUGGGAGGAACACCAGUGGCGAAGGCGGCUUUCUGGACGGUGUCUGACACUGAGGCGCGAAAGCCAGGGGAGCGAACGGGAUUAGAUACCCCCGUAGUCC